AGGACGAACGCUGGCGGCGUGCUUAACACAUGCAAGUGGAGCGACGAACCAGGGCUUGCCCUGGGGCAGAGCCGCGAACGGGUGAGUAACACGUGGGUUACCUGCCUCGAUGACCGGGACAACCCGAGGAAAACUCGGGCUAAUACCGGAUGUGCCCGCAAGGGGAAAGGAAGCUUCGGCCUCCGCAUCGAGAUGGGCCCGCGGCCCAUUAGCUUGUUGGUGAGGUAAAGGCUCACCAAGGCUUCGAUGGGUAGCUGGUCUGAGAGGACGAUCAGCCACACUGGGACUGAGACACGGCCCAGACUCCUACGGGAGGCAGCAGUGGGGAAUCUUGCGCAAUGCGCGAAAGCGUGACGCAGCAACGCCGCGUGGGGGAAGAAGGCUUUCGGGUUGUAAACCCUUUCAGUUGGGACGAAGCUCCGCCGGUGAAUAGCCGGACGGAGUGACGGUACCUUCACAAGAAGCACCGGCUAACUACGUGCCAGCAGCCGCGGU
This 495-nucleotide ribosomal RNA is filed under the name uncultured bacterium. Its description in RNAcentral is "SSU rRNA". It matches the Rfam family "Bacterial small subunit ribosomal RNA", at positions 26 to 521 of the family's 1533-position model. The record is from RNAcentral.